AUUGAACGCUGGCGGCAUGCCUUACACAUGCAAGUCGAACGGUAACGCGGGGCAACCUGGCGACGAGUGGCGAACGGGUGAGUAAUGUAUCGGAACGUGCCCAAUAGUGGGGGAUAGCCCGGCGAAAGCCGGAUUAAUACCGCAUGAGACCUGAGGGUGAAAGCGGGGGAUCGCAAGACCUCGCGCUGUUGGAGCGGCCGAUAUCAGAGUAGGUAGUUGGUGGGGUAAAGGCCGACCAAGCCUGCGAUCUGUAGCUGGUCGGAGAGGAUGACCAGCCACACUGGGACUGAGACACGACGCAGACUCCUACGGGAGGGAGCAGUGGGGAAUUUUGGAGAAUGGGCGCAAGCCUGAUCCAGCCAUGCCGCGUGCGGGAAGAAGGCCUUCGGGUUGUAAACCGCUUUUGUCAGGGAAGAAAUCUUCUGGGUUGAUACCUCGGGAGGAUGACGGUACCUGAAGAAUAAGCACCGGCUAACUACGUGCCAGCCGCCGCCGUAA
RNAcentral lists this ribosomal RNA (498 nucleotides) under uncultured bacterium. Its description in RNAcentral is "partial 16S ribosomal RNA". It matches the Rfam family "Bacterial small subunit ribosomal RNA", at positions 29 to 523 of the family's 1533-position model. The record is from RNAcentral.